AGUGAACGCUGGCGGUAGGCCUAACACAUGCAAGUCGAACGGCAGCACAGUAAGAGCUUGCUCUUACGGGUGGCGAGUGGCGGACGGGUGAGGAAUACAUCGGAAUCUACUUUUUCGUGGGGGAUAACGUAGGUAAACUUACGCUAAUACCGCAUACGACCUACGGGUGAAAGCAGGGGAUCUUCGGACCUUGCGCGAUUGAAUGAGCCGAUGUCGGAUUAGCUAGUUGGCGGGGUAAAGGCCCACCAAGGCGACGAUCCGUAGCUGGUCUGAGAGGAUGAUCAGCCACACUGGAGCUGAGACACGGUCCAGACUCCUACGGGACGCAGCAGUGGGGAAUAGUGGACAAUGGGCGCAAGCAUGAUCCAGCCAUACCGCGUGGGUGAAGAAGGCCUUCGGGUUGUAAAGCCCUUUUGUUGGGAAAGAAAAGCAGCAGGUUAAUACCCCGCUGUUCUGACGGUACCCAAAGAAUAAGCACCGGCUAACUUCGUG
RNAcentral lists this ribosomal RNA (492 nucleotides) under uncultured bacterium. RNAcentral's name for it is "partial 16S ribosomal RNA". It matches the Rfam family "Bacterial small subunit ribosomal RNA", at positions 29 to 507 of the family's 1533-position model. The record is from RNAcentral.